UGGGGAAUUUUGGACAAUGGGGGAAACCCUGAUCCAGCCAUCCCGCGUGUGCGAUGAAGGCCUUCGGGUUGUAAAGCACUUUUGGCAGGAAAGAAACGUCAUGGGUUAAUACCCCGUGAAACUGACGGUACCUGCAGAAUAAGCACCGGCUAACUACGUGCCAGCAGCCGCGGUAAUACGUAGGGUGCAAGCGUUAAUCGGAAUUACUGGGCGUAAAGCGUGCGCAGGCGGUUCGGAAAGAAAGAUGUGAAAUCCCAGAGCUCAACUUUGGAACUGCAUUUUUAACUACCGGACUAGAGUGUGUCAGAGGGAGGUGGAAUUCCGCGUGUAGCAGUGAAAUGCGUAGAUAUGCGGAGGAACACCGAUGGCGAAGGCAGCCUCCUGGGAUAACACUGACGCUCAUGCACGAAAGCGUGGGGAGCAAACAGG
Molecule: ribosomal RNA, 429 nt
Filed under: Acidobacteriota bacterium
Lineage: Bacteria; Pseudomonadati; Acidobacteriota
Description: Acidobacteria bacterium partial 16S ribosomal RNA
Rfam family: Bacterial small subunit ribosomal RNA
Source: RNAcentral